UACCAUGUAACAAUAUAAGGCGC
This 23-nucleotide non-coding RNA is filed under the name Arabidopsis thaliana (thale cress). Lineage: Eukaryota; Viridiplantae; Streptophyta; Magnoliopsida; Brassicales; Brassicaceae. The record is from RNAcentral.